Schistosoma margrebowiei is the source of this 45-nucleotide non-coding RNA. The record is from Rfam. NCBI's taxonomy places the organism in Eukaryota, Metazoa, Platyhelminthes, Trematoda, Strigeidida, Schistosomatidae.
AUCCAGCUGACGAGUCCCAAAGAGAACGAAACGCGUGUUCUGAAU